GCGCCUGUAGCUCAUCUGGAUAGAGCUUCGGACUUCGAAUCCGGAGGUAGCAGGUUCGAAUCCUGUCAGACGCA
RNAcentral lists this transfer RNA (74 nucleotides) under Treponema sp. RNAcentral's name for it is "tRNA-Arg". It matches the Rfam family "tRNA". From Rfam's summary of the family: Transfer RNA (tRNA) molecules are approximately 80 nucleotides in length. The record is from RNAcentral. Lineage: Bacteria; Pseudomonadati; Spirochaetota; Spirochaetia; Treponematales; Treponemataceae.